UUUUUUAUUUCCCCCUCUAGCAGCUUCUCUUCACUCCUUUAAACUCUCUUGCCGGCACCUCCAUAUCACCAUUUCCACCAUCAUUUUUUCGGCAAAAUCACCGGAAAAUUCUUGGGAACCCAUAAAUACCUUCACAUCCUUUUUUUGAGGUUCUAGUUAAUCUCCUUGGAGCUUUGAGAAUUAGGGAUUUUGCGUUGCGAGGUAAGUAGCUUUUUAAUGGGAUUUUUGGAAAAUAACCAUGUUUUAUAAAUGUUGUUUUUGGGGUCAAACACAUUUUGGAAAAUUAUAUAUGGAUUUCUUGAAAGUAUUGUGUUGUGACCCUAUUAUAUAUGAUUAUAUAUGAAAAUGCAUCAUAUUUGGUAUUGCAUUUGGGGAAAUGCAUGAAUUGUUGAUAUAGAAAAAAAUGAGCAUCUUUUAUUUAAUCUUUGAUAAGGAAAUCUUGAACGUUAUGGUAUAUUAGAAAAUUUAAAGAUGCUUAUCUUGUCUUGUUAUGUGGGAAAUUGUUAGAAAAUCUUUUGACAAGAAUGAAGUUGAAAAUCUUACAAACCUUGUGGAAGUUAGUUUUUUUAAGGUUUUUAUGAAACUACCUUGAUAUGAACUAUGUGUUUCAAAGUAAUGUAACUUGUGAGUUUAUGUGGUUUUAACACCAUGUCAUAUGUGAUUUCUCGAUGAUCACCCGAUUUGGUUUUAAUAGUCUUUGUGACAACAGAAUCAAAUCCAGGUCAGUGCCCUUUCACUUUGGAUGACGCAUUCUUCCCUGCUGUCCAUGGGGGGAAGAGGUUUCUUAAUUCUGUGUGGAUGAGGUUGUUGCCCAUGGGGCCAAGAGACUACAUGCAAGAGAGGUCCUAUUUGACGCACUCUUUCUGCUGCCCAUGGGGGGAGAGAAAAACCUUGAGAGUAUGGGUGAGGCUGCUGUCCAUGGG
Quercus robur (English oak) is the source of this 923-nucleotide long non-coding RNA. RefSeq lists it as uncharacterized. The record is from RefSeq and is a predicted model, not a curated record. Lineage: Eukaryota; Viridiplantae; Streptophyta; Magnoliopsida; Fagales; Fagaceae. The transcript has 2 exons.